This 434-nucleotide ribosomal RNA is filed under the name uncultured Pseudobutyrivibrio sp. RNAcentral's name for it is "partial 16S ribosomal RNA". It matches the Rfam family "Bacterial small subunit ribosomal RNA", at positions 341 to 792 of the family's 1533-position model. The record is from RNAcentral. Lineage: Bacteria; Bacillati; Bacillota; Clostridia; Lachnospirales; Lachnospiraceae.
ACGGAAGGCAGCAGUGGGGAAUAUUGCACAAUGGGCGAAAGCCUGAUGCAGCGACGCCGCGUGAGCGAAGAAGUAUUUCGGUAUGUAAAGCUCUAUCAGCAGGGAAGAUAAUGACGGUACCUGACUAAGAAGCACCGGCUAAAUACGUGCCAGCAGCCGCGGUAAUACGUAUGGUGCAAGCGUUAUCCGGAUUUACUGGGUGUAAAGGGAGCGUAGGCGGUUUUACAAGUCUGAUGUGAAAGCCCGGGGCUCAACUCCGGUAUUGCAUUGGAAACUGUAGAACUAGAGUGUCGUAGGGGUAAGUGGAAUUCCUAGUGUAGCGGUGAAAUGCGUAGAUAUUAGGAGGAACACCAGUGGCGAAGGCGGCUUACUGGACGAUUACUGACGCUGAGGCUCGAAAGCGUGGGGAGCAAACAGGAUUAGAUACCCUGGUA